GUGACGGUUUCGGGGAAGACACUAAGUGUCUUUCUUGAGAAGUUGUUGACUCCUAGCAAAAAUAAAUGGACACUCUACUAGAAAGGUAGUAAGGAAACUUACGGCCUCUGUCGAAGGAUUUCCUUGUGAAGAGUUUUUUUUUAGACGUUUUGCUCUUUUGAUGUUGUAGCCGUGAGGACAAGCGUGACGUGGCUUGAGUUUGAUGACUAGAUGAACUCACUACAGAGCCCGCAUGACCGGAAUGAUGUGAUACUAGCAUUUUCGAAACAUCUGAUCGACUUGUCAUUAGUUAGACUUGAAUUCUAUUAAGACGAUUCACCAUCACUGCGUCAGAACACUAAGCCAGAUGUUUUAAAAAAGUUGAUCCUUUUAUUCAAAUUAUUAUUUUACCGCAAUGACUAAA
Molecule: long non-coding RNA, 403 nt
Organism: Hylaeus volcanicus
Lineage: Eukaryota; Metazoa; Arthropoda; Insecta; Hymenoptera; Colletidae
Exons: 3
Source: RefSeq, a predicted model, not a curated record